UUUCUCCCUUCAUCACUUCCAUUUCAACUCUAAAUCCUUCCUCAUUCAAGCUAUUUAUCAUAAUUAUUCUAUUUUAAUUUUGAAUUUUUGUAAAAGAAAUAGCGUAUGUAAAAAAAGUUUGAUUUUUUUUUUUUUUAAAAAACUAUUUUUUAGUGCCUUGUGAUUCUAAAAUCUCUCAUUUCUCUCUUUAUUUUGGUUUGGAAUCAAUCCCGCAAAUCCCGAACCUGAAGAGAUCGAGACGAAAUCACAAAAGAAAAGAAAUUAUGUAUUAAUAAUUUCUAAGUAAAUAUUUAACACUUGAAACUAAUUGAAAUAAGAAUUGUUGGUUGAAUAUAAUUCUCAAAGAAUUAUCUUAAAAAAUACGUUUGUUUCUAAAGCAAUAUAUUGGAAAACUGGAAGCAGAACUGCUUACUUGGGGCCUGGGGGUUGUCUGCUCUCCGCCACUCUCCUCUCCUGAAAACCCUAGAAUCCUGAUUCUUAUGCAGUGAGAUGUUAAUAAGAAGAUUAGGUUUCCAACGACCGUACGGGCAGCCCUGGCGGCAGUGUGGUAAUGGUGAAUAACAAUUAGAUGGGUUUUUAUUUGAGGUGAAAAGUGAAAACCUUGCCCAGCAAUGCUAUGCUAUCUAAGUCAUGAAGGUGACUGCUGAUAUACGUGUGUCAGACUCAGAAGAAGAUAUGUACAAGAGACCUGGGUUGUUGUCUCUAUCAUUCUUAGCUGUCUCUUCUUCUCAAAUUCUGGAUGCAAACCAGGCAGUAAAGCAAUAUGAAGCAACAAAGAAAAAGUCCCAAGACCAGUAAAAAUAUUUAAGCAAACACCUCUGCCUGUCAUCUUUACUGCAGUACACCAUAGUGAGCACCCCAGCUAUCAACAACCAUGUUAUGCAGGAUGACUUUCAAAGCCUUGAAGCCAAAGGAAUUCUUUCAGAAGAAGAUGGCAAAAUAUGUGUAGAAAUAAGAAAAAGGAAAUAAGGAAAAUGGUUUUGAGAGAAAGUGCAAGAGGGAGAUUGUUUGGAGGGGUUAUCUUUUAAAUUAAGGUGGCAAGCUGUAUAGAAAUAAGUACAAAAAGGUUUUAAGAAAGAGAGAGAUAGUUCCAAAAGGCAGGCCUCUUGAUGAGCACAAGUCUUCUCCACUAAAGUGAGAGGCUGCCUCUUCCAGCAGAAAAGCCUUUUCAUAAUCAUCCUUCCAUAGGAUCCCUUACAAAUAUGACUUCAAAAGAAUUACCCAACAACUUUCCCAAGUAGGUGGACAGGAGCUGGCCUGCUCUGCACCAAGUGACCAAAACUUCCACUUGUGAACUGGGCAUAUAGGAAUCUGCUUAGUUGUCUUAAAGUUAACUCUUGGGCACUUUCAAAGUGCUAUUAAGGUAUAAAACGCUAAUCCCCAUUUGCUUCACAAACAAAAGCACACCAUUAGUGAAAAGCUAACUGUUAAGUCACAAUCCCUUGGCCCCUCCUUCCUCCCACCUUAAAACCAUGGAUAACCACCCUCCACCACUCAACCGAUAAACAAACUCAACAUUGCCAUCACCAAAAUAAAGUGGUAGGUAGAAAAAGAAUUCCUUUACCUUAAAUUCUCAAACUGUGCAAGUAAUCAGUAGGUGUCCCAUUAACCCAUACAAGAAAUAAAGUUAUAUAAUUUGAUCAUUAGAUAAAGUUAACAGAGUAACUUGCUUCCCAAUUCAACCAGCCUAAGAAACUUCUAGAAGAGUUUAUUUUGAGAGUCUUUUCAAUGUGCAAAGGUCGGUAGGUGGUCCAUUAAUUGGUUUGACUUGAAUAAUAAUGAGCCAUACAAUGAAUAUAUGUUAUACUUUAUCCAAGAGGGGGAUGGUGUUCUCGGGAAGUGAGAGAGGCGUAUGGUGUGGGGCUUUGGAAAAGGAUAAGGAUGGAUUGGGACUUUGUGGGUUCUAGGAUUUCCUUCCUGGUAGGAAUGGGAGGAGGGUGAGAUUUUGGAGGGAUAGGUGGUGCGGGGAUUCUCCGUUGUGUGUGUCCUUCCCUUCCUUGUUUGCUUUAACUGAUGAUAAGGAAGCGUGGGUGGUGGAUAUUUGGGACCCCUUGGCUAAGGGGGGUUGGGGGGAUGGAACCCUUGUUUCUCAAGAGCCUUUAAUGAUUGGGAGGUGGAAAGCUUCUUGGAGCGGCUAGAUGGGAAGAGAGUGCAAGGAGAUGUGCAAGACAUGGUGUUUUGGACUGAAACAAAGAGUGGAAAGUUCUCGAUCAAAUCCCUCUACUAUGCUCUUAAGCCAGGCAGCCCUUCUCUUUUUCCUUCAAGUUGCAUUUGGAACGUGUGGGUGCAACCCAAGAUUAGCUUCUUUUCUUGGG
Long non-coding RNA from Vitis riparia (riverbank grape), 2315 nucleotides. RefSeq lists it as uncharacterized. The record is from RefSeq and is a predicted model, not a curated record. The transcript has 3 exons. Lineage: Eukaryota; Viridiplantae; Streptophyta; Magnoliopsida; Vitales; Vitaceae.